This 381-nucleotide unclassified non-coding RNA is filed under the name Hevea brasiliensis (rubber tree). The record is from RNAcentral. Lineage: Eukaryota; Viridiplantae; Streptophyta; Magnoliopsida; Malpighiales; Euphorbiaceae.
UUUUCUCUAGUAAAAUUUUAAAUUUGCAGGUGCACAUAUGCCAAAAUUUAUUAAUUUUAAAACAACUCAUGGCAUAGAUUCCUUGCAUAAAUGAAAAUGAUCAGAUAAACUGCGUACCAUCUGUGAUAAUUUAAUUUGAAUUGAUGGAGACAAAUACUAUAUUCUAUAUGAUUAAAAUAUGCCAAGUAAUUACUUAGCAAUUUCAAUUUGUUGAAAGGUGUCAUCAUCCAUGUUUAUUAUUGUUCUUUUCACUUUCCAUUUCAUUUCCAAGAACCUUUUUUAAUACCGUGAUGGCCACGGCUUUACCGGUCUUCUUGAUGCUAUAUUAUACCUUGAAAUGUCCUCACUAAGUGUGAACUGCCCAAGUUUCUGUAAUGGCUG